Long non-coding RNA from Ostrea edulis (European flat oyster), 2651 nucleotides. RefSeq lists it as uncharacterized. The transcript is spliced from 2 exons. The record is from RefSeq and is a predicted model, not a curated record. Lineage: Eukaryota; Metazoa; Mollusca; Bivalvia; Ostreida; Ostreidae.
UAUAAAAUACUGGGUUUUCUCUCUGAUUUGACAUAUUGUAAAGAUAUUUAACGGACCUAUAUGGCUAUAAAGGAAUAGUUUAUCCAAUGGGUGAAAUACAUCAAACGUAUGAGAUAAAAGGGUAUUAAAUGGUAUAGAUUUUUUUAUAGGACUUAAUUGGAUAUAUACAUGUACGUUGACUUGGUUGAAAUGUAAUUCUACACAUUCGAUCACCACCCCUCAACCCAACCAAACUUGAUCGUUGGUGAAUGUAAUGGACUUAACUGAGUGAAUUAUACUUUCAAAAAAGCAAUGGUAACUUUGCCUUAUGGGUAAUUGGUAUCAAUAUGGCGACUACAUAGAAAAAUUAUUUUUCGAACGCAUCAAGUGAUGUCAAGUAUCAAAGGCUCCGAUCCCCGACAAAGGACCGACAUUUAACAAAGAAAACACCAACCUAGUGGAUCUGAAUGAUAUUUGUUUAAGCUUUCAUUCAGACAUGUAAAUUGUUCACAAUUCAGUAUUAUACGUUUAUUGGAACUCCAUUCUCGUCUUUACGUCCACAGAAACCAAUGCACCAAAAGUAUCAGUGUAUCAAAUUGUAAUUUUUCAAUUUACUGGUAAAUACAGAAGCACCAACCCAAUAAAUUAAAAAAGACGACAAGUCAAUGUGAUAGUAUGCCCAUUUUCUCUUCCGUUUUUUUAUCAUAUAAAUAUAUUUUUUGCAGCAUAUGUAUGAUGGGAUACAACUUCAAGCAAAUAUAAAUUUCAGGUUGCAUUCAUUUGUAUAUAAAUCAAAUCAAUGUUAAUAUAAAUUCAAUUUUUGUAAUGGUCUUGUAUCAUUACAGCCUCUCUGGUCCCUGUAAAACUAAAAAAAAAAUUGAAGCUAUAAAGAAAAACCUAAAUUUUCUUAUACCUUACAAAAGAGAUCAUGUUCCUUUUCAAAUCCACAUGAUAUACAUGUACAGUCAUACCAUGACAAGUGAUACAAUUUCUCAGUUUUACUCAAAUUAAAAAUGUUUAAUGUUUUGUGAACGGUUUUCCUAUACAAAACAUAUAGCUCAGUUAUAAACAAGCAUUUGUUUUACCACUCAUGGAUAAAUCUAUAGCAUAAAUACUAAUUUUGUCCAAGCCUACUCUCGAUGCUUUCAAGAAGAAAAACGAAAAAUUGUGUGGAAAAUACCCAAUUUAAGUCAAAAUACCGAAAAUGAUGUCAAAGUGCCAUAUUUAUGAAUUUUACUUUAUUUUGAUCAACUGUAUUGCAUCAGAAUUCUUGCACAAAUAGAAAUACUUUGAAACAAAGCACGAAAUAAGAUUUUGAUGGGCAAAUAGGACAUUCUAUCAUGUAUCAUCCUUUACAUUUCUUUGGAGGUAGCACAAAAAUAUACAAAGUAUUAUUAGAAAACAAUCAAUAUGGAGUGUAAACCUUAACAAUGCAUGCAUUCUUUCAUUCUCCCGGCGAAACACAUAUGGUAUUGUGGCUCGCUGUACCAGAAGCUUGUAAUAUAUUGGAUGGAUUUUUUACCCAAUCAAAUAUUAAACCAAACAUACAAUCGAUCCGUUAUUUUAUUUAUGCACAAGAUCUGAAUAAUUUGCACACUGUACCCAUGUUUUAUCUUCCUGAUUAAGAAGAAGUGUAUAACCUUCCAAACGGAAAUUUUCUCCUAAGGAGAGCUUUGUUCAGCAGUCCAUGAAAACUUCCGUUGUCAUUAGUUGACGCAACAUCUCGCUCUGCGAGAUAACGUUCCUCUCGAUGACUCGCUUGUCUUGUACUUGCGAGGUGGCCUUUGAAGAUAUUUCAAAAGACUAUCUCUUCUUUCAGCUUGUCUUGGAAACAGGACAUAAGAGAAAAUAUUUAUAGGAACAUAGUGUCAAUUCUUCCAAAAGAAGAGGGUCCAUACAUACAUAUGCUGUGCACAUUGGGGUGAUAAACUUAAGUCUUUCGCAGAAUAGGGAUAUCUUCUUAGAAAAUAUUCACUUCAUUACAUUCAAAAGUGCAGAUUUUGCAUCAUCACUAAAUGCACUUACAUGGCUUGCAAAGUAGCUUUGUUGUACUAUCCAAGUAUAGUAUCUUUUUCCGCCGUUCCAUCUGUUGAUAAAUAUAUUACCGGUACACCGUGUACCAUACGAUACUUACACGCAUUAAAUGAAUAUUUUUGAUAUCUGUAGGUAUUCAACAGUGUGCAGACAAAUACAAUAACUCGCGUAAAUACGUCUUAUCAGCACUAUAUAUACUAAAAAUGAAAGGAAUAAACAUAUCUACAUUAGAUUUAUAUUUGAUUUUUUGAAAAUAUCAUGAUGACAACUCUCCUUGCUUGCAGGUCAUCAAACUGUAACAACAACGGAAUAUAGACGUGGCUGCUUGUGAUGUCGACGUUAUUCCUUAGUGUGGUAUUGUAAUAUGUAUUCAGCAACACUAAAAUGGAGUUCGUUUUAGAGGCAAGAGGCUCGUGGGCCACACCGCACACACGAAUCACUCUGCGCCUACAGAGAUACUCAUACUUUGAACCCCUAUUGUUGUCCCAACGUUACUCUUAAUCUUGGGUCAGGGUGUGAACUUGAAUCUACAUUACAUCUGGAUGAUUGCAUGUUAUACAGACAAUCUCUGUCCCUUGUGGUUCUAAUUCCCCUGUACCAUGUAUUUCCAAUGUAAAUCUAAUAAAUUUUAAUCUUUA